RNAcentral lists this ribosomal RNA (253 nucleotides) under uncultured bacterium. RNAcentral describes it as "partial 16S ribosomal RNA". It matches the Rfam family "Bacterial small subunit ribosomal RNA", at positions 524 to 776 of the family's 1533-position model. The record is from RNAcentral.
UACGUAGGGUGCGAGCGUUAAUCGGAAUUACUGGGCGUAAAGUGUGCGCAGGCGGCCGCGCAAGUCGCGUGUGAAAGCCCCCGGCUCAACUGGGGAGGGUCACGCGAUACUGCUCGACUCGAAGGCAGGAGAGGGAAGUGGAAUUCCCGGUGUAGUGGUGAAAUGCGUAGAUAUCGGGAGGAACACCAGUGGCGAAGGCGACUACCUGGCCUGUUCUUGACGCUGAGGCGCGAAAGCUAGGGGAGCAAACGGG